AACGAACGCUGGCGGCAUGCCUAACACAUGCAAGUCGAACGAGACCUUCGGGUCUAGUGGCGCACGGGUGCGUAACGCGUGGGAAACUGCCCUUAGGUUCGGAAUAACUCCCCGAAAGGGGUGCUAAUACCGGAUAAUGUCUUCGGACCAAAGAUUUAUCGCCUUUGGAUGGGCCCGCGUUGGAUUAGCUAGUUGGUAGGGUAAAAGCCUACAAAGGCUACGAUCCAUAGCUGGUCUGGGAGGAUGAUCAGCCAUACUGGGACUGGGACACGGCCCGAAUUCUGCGGGAAGGGGGCAGGGGGGAUACUGGAACACCGGGGGAAGGCUGAACCCCUCAUGACGGGUUAGGGAUUUAAGUCUUAAGGUUGGAAAGCUCUUUUACCCGGGAUGAUAAUGACAGUACCGGGAGAAUAAGCUCCGGCUAACUCCGUG
RNAcentral lists this ribosomal RNA (432 nucleotides) under uncultured bacterium. Its description in RNAcentral is "partial 16S ribosomal RNA". It matches the Rfam family "Bacterial small subunit ribosomal RNA", at positions 29 to 507 of the family's 1533-position model. The record is from RNAcentral.